RNAcentral lists this long non-coding RNA (375 nucleotides) under Homo sapiens (human). Its description in RNAcentral is "non-protein coding LINC01568:15". The record is from RNAcentral. Lineage: Eukaryota; Metazoa; Chordata; Mammalia; Primates; Hominidae.
UGCAAAUGAGUCCGCGUGAUGGGGACGUGGCAACUGACUGACGGGCUUUCUCUGAAGUGGAGAAGGACAUCUGUGUUUUCCAUAUUGCGGAACACCGGAUCUUUCCAAGUCACACAUUUGGGAAGACAGCUGAAUUGCCUUCAAGUUCCUCCUGUUAUGGUACAAAUACCCACCUGGUGUGCAAACAUGAGAGACGCAGCUUUACACUAGAACCAAUGAAAGCAAAUUUGAGAAAACCCAACUCUUUAGGAAUGGAGACUACAGAUGUAUGAGGGGAUCUUAAUAAUUAAAAGAAGAAAAUAUGUAAACAGGAAAAAUAUCCAACUGUCACAAAACUCUACACUAAAUCAAACUGCAAAGUUUUGUCUUUUUAAA